Non-coding RNA from Vicugna pacos (alpaca), 113 nucleotides. The record is from RefSeq and is a predicted model, not a curated record. Lineage: Eukaryota; Metazoa; Chordata; Mammalia; Artiodactyla; Camelidae.
GUAAUAACCUUUAAUGAAAAAAAUAUGAAAACGAAUAUAUGUAUAUACAUGCAUGACUGGUACAUUAAGCUGUACACCAGGAAUUGACACAUUGUAACUGACUAUACUUCAAU